Molecule: ribosomal RNA, 251 nt
Filed under: uncultured prokaryote
Description: partial 16S ribosomal RNA
Rfam family: Bacterial small subunit ribosomal RNA
Source: RNAcentral
ACAGAGGGUGCAAGCGUUAUUCGGAAUUACUGGGCGUAAAGCGCAUGUAGGCGGUUCGGUAAGUCUGGUGUGAAAGCCCUCGACUCAAUCGGGGAAGUGCAUCGGAUACUGCCGGACUGGAGUACAGGAGAGGAGAACGGAAUUCCUGGUGUAGAGGUGGAAUUCGUAGAUAUCAGGAGGAACAACGGCGGCGAAGGCGGUUCUCUGGACUGUAACUGACGCUGAGAUGCGAAAGCGUGGGGAGCAAACAG